AGAGUUUGAUCCUGGCUCAGGACGAACGCUGGCGGCGUGCCUAAUACAUGCAAGUCGAGCGAGCUUGCCUAGAUGAUUUUAGUGCUUGCACUAAAUGAAACUAGAUACAAGCGAGCGGCGGACGGGUGAGUAACACGUGGGUAACCUGCCCAAGAGACUGGGAUAACACCUGGAAACAGAUGCUAAUACCGGAUAACAACACUAGACGCAUGUCUAGAGUUUGAAAGAUGGUUCUGCUAUCACUCUUGGAUGGACCUGCGGUGCAUUAGCUAGUUGGUAAGGUAACGGCCUACCAAGGCAAUGAUGCAUAGCCGAGUUGAGAGACUGAUCGGCCACAUUGGGACUGAGACACGGCCCAAACUCCUACGGGAGGCAGCAGUAGGGAAUCUUCCACAAUGGACGAAAGUCUGAUGGAGCAACGCCGCGUGAGUGAAGAAGGGUUUCGGCUCGUAAAGCUCUGUUGGUAGUGAAGAAAGAUAGAGGUAGUAACUGGCCUUUAUUUGACGGUAAUUACUUAGAAAGUCACGGCUAACUACGUGCCAGCAGCCGCGGUAAUACGUAGGUGGCAAGCGUUGUCCGGAUUUAUUGGGCGUAAAGCGAGUGCAGGCGGUUCAAUAAGUCUGAUGUGAAAGCCUUCGGCUCAACCGGAGAAUUGCAUCAGAAACUGUUGAACUUGAGUGCAGAAGAGGAGAGUGGAACUCCAUGUGUAGCGGUGGAAUGCGUAGAUAUAUGGGAGAACACCAGUGGCGAAGGCGGCUCUCUGGUCUGCAACUGACGCUGAGGCUCGAAAGCAUGGGUAGCGAACAGGAUUAGAUACCCUGGUAGUCCAUGCCGUAAACGAUGAGUGCUAAGUGUUGGGAGGUUUCCGCCUCUCAGUGCUGCAGCUAACGCAUUAAGCACUCCGCCUGGGGAGUACGACCGCAAGGUUGAAGCUCAAAGGAAUUGACGGGGGCCCGCACAAGCGGUGGAGCAUGUGGUUUAAUUCGAAGCAACGCGAAGAACCUUACCAGGUCUUAACAUCCAGUGCAAACCUAAGAGAUUAGGUGUUCCCUUCGGGGACGCUGAGACAGGUGGUGCAUGGCUGUCGUCAGCUCGUGUCGUGAGAUGUCGGGUUAAGUCCCGCAACGAGCGCAACCCUUGUCAUUAGUUGCCAUCAUUAAGUUGGGCACUCUAAUGAGACUGCCGGUGACAAACCGGAGGAAGGUGGGGAUGACGUCAAGUCAUCAUCCCCCUUA
This 1235-nucleotide ribosomal RNA is filed under the name uncultured bacterium. RNAcentral describes it as "bacterial SSU rRNA". It matches the Rfam family "Bacterial small subunit ribosomal RNA", at positions 8 to 1204 of the family's 1533-position model. The record is from RNAcentral.